RNAcentral lists this long non-coding RNA (884 nucleotides) under Sorghum bicolor (sorghum). Its description in RNAcentral is "long non-coding RNA (SBIC_LNC013504)". Lineage: Eukaryota; Viridiplantae; Streptophyta; Magnoliopsida; Poales; Poaceae. The record is from RNAcentral.
GUGCGACUUGCUCUCCGGGCGCGGUGGCGGCGCUCUCCCCCCAUGGUUUGGAUCCAGCGCAGGGUGGCGUGGAUCUGGCGCGGGGUGGCGAGAUCCGGCACGGGGCGGCAUGGAUCUAGAUAUGUGCCUAUCAAGCAAUGGUGACAGCGACGACGUACUCUAGAUGGGUUGAGCGGGCCUAUGGAUGGGCUCGCCAGGCCUACCAUGGAUUUUUCUUUUUUUAUUUUUUUAUUAGAUUAACCAAGGCGGGUAGGAAAACGCCUAAGAAAAUAUCUUUAUUUACCGUGACCUUUCAUCCGAGACGUUUUCUUUGCCCGCCUCGGUUAAUCCAAAAUGACCGCCUCGGAAAAGAUUUUCUAUAGUAGUGGCCACCAAGAUCAAGUAACUAUGUCCGGUGUCCAUGCGCUCCCUCCUGUCCUCGAAUACACUCGCCGAGCUUGAUCAUGACCAAGGCCCGAUGUGGCCGAAUAUGGGUGAGCUGGGACCCGUCCUUUGCUGUAUUGGUGGUUGGAUUCAUGCUCCAAUGAGGCCUUUGUUGUAAAGUGUUGUCCACACUUCACCACACAAAAUGCAGAGAGUGUUGUUCAAACAGAGGUAGAAGGGUGGUGAAGGAGAUGAGAGAUAGAGUGAUGACAUGUGGGCCUGCAUGGGAGGAAGCUAAGUGUUGAAAGAGAUGAGAGUGGGAUAACAAGGGAGCCCCAAAGCUAGGUGCAGUCAGCAACCACAUCGGCAAUCUAUCACAAACAAUAAUAAUUUAAUACCCCGUGACCUGUAUCAAGUUUUUGGACCUGGAUAUGUAAGGUUGAAAAGUUUAGGACCUAAAUGACCUCACGGUGCAAAUUUAGUUACUGAAUUGAACAUGUCAUGUUCAGGUCAGCGUUGUU